GUCACUGGACAACAGGGCGCAUGCCCUUGAGAAGGUUGCUGCCUUCAAGGCUUCAGUGUGGUACUCCCAUUAAAUCUGCUCUUCAUGCAAAACGCUGCCCAGCCUUGAGAGGUCCUGAAGACCACAGCCUCUUAAAGAGCCAAGUCUAUUCGAGCCACUUCUCCAGAAUGAGACUGCUCACAAACCUUUGUUCUUGAAAACUACCAGAUCUCUGCCCUCUGGAACCAGCGUGGAGAUGGCACAGACAAGCCCUUUAUUCCCAUAAGACCCAGUAUCUCCCUCCAAAUAUGAAGACCAGUGAAACAAACACAGCCAGUCAUCCCAAUACAUAACCCAACAGACAAUCUGCUAAUGAAAUGGGAAAUAUGUAAUAACUGUGCUGUUUGUGCUUCUA
Molecule: long non-coding RNA, 394 nt
Filed under: Mus musculus (house mouse)
Lineage: Eukaryota; Metazoa; Chordata; Mammalia; Rodentia; Muridae
Description: predicted gene 8075
Source: RNAcentral